RNAcentral lists this ribosomal RNA (465 nucleotides) under Vreelandella stevensii. RNAcentral describes it as "partial 16S ribosomal RNA". It matches the Rfam family "Bacterial small subunit ribosomal RNA", at positions 338 to 795 of the family's 1533-position model. The record is from RNAcentral. Lineage: Bacteria; Pseudomonadati; Pseudomonadota; Gammaproteobacteria; Oceanospirillales; Halomonadaceae.
CCUACGGGGGGCUGCAGUGGGGAAUAUUGGACAAUGGGGGGAACCCUGAUCCAGCCAUGCCGCGUGUGUGAAGAAGGCCCUCGGGUUGUAAAGCACUUUCAGUGAGGAAGAACGCCUGGUGGUUAAUACCCAUCAGGAAAGACAUCACUCACAGAAGAAGCACCGGCUAACUCCGUGCCAGCAGCCGCGGUAAUACGGAGGGUGCGAGCGUUAAUCGGAAUUACUGGGCGUAAAGCGCGCGUAGGUGGCUUGAUAAGCCGGUUGUGAAAGCCCCGGGCUCAACCUGGGAACGGCAUCCGGAACUGUCAAGCUAGAGUGCAGGAGAGGAAGGUAGAAUUCCCGGUGUAGCGGUGAAAUGUGUAGAGAUCGGGAGGAAUACCAGUGGCGAAGGCGGCCUUCUGGACUGACACUGACACUGAGGUGCGAAAGCGUGGGUAGCAAACAGGAUUAGAUACCCCAGUAGUC